UCCAGCUUAUCGCUGGCGGUCUCCUGCGAGUCCCCCCUUGCGGGAUGGCAACACAGGACAAGGGUUGCGCUCGUUGCGGGACUUAACCCAACAUCUCACGACACGAGCUGACGACAGCCGUGCAGCACCUACGUAGCGGUCUCUUGCGAGAAAAGGAUAUUUCUACCCCGGUCCACUACGCUUCGAGCCCAGGUAAGGUUCUUCGCGUUGCGUCGAAUUGAACCACAUGCUCCACCGCUUGUGCGGGCCCCCGUCAAUUCCUUUGAGUUUUAACCUUGCGGCCGUACUCCCCAGGCGGAUAACUUAAUGCGUUAGCUGCGCCACCAAAAGCCCAUGGCCCCUGACAGCUAGUUAUCAUCGUUUACGGCGUGGACUAC
This 377-nucleotide unclassified non-coding RNA is filed under the name uncultured bacterium. RNAcentral describes it as "contains 16S-23S intergenic spacer region". The record is from RNAcentral.